Molecule: long non-coding RNA, 776 nt
Filed under: Canis lupus familiaris (dog)
Lineage: Eukaryota; Metazoa; Chordata; Mammalia; Carnivora; Canidae
Description: lncRNA (ENSCAFG00000045800.2)
Source: RNAcentral
CACUAGCUUGCCCAGAGUUACUCAGCUAAUAAGCAGCUGAGCUGGGACUCCCACUCAGCAAUGCAGCUCCAGGCCUGGCUGCUAACCCCUUCUUCCUUCUUGGCAGCUGCCUUCACAGAGGAAUUCAAGAGCCACAGAAGUGAAAACAGCCACCGUCAAAAAGAGCAGCAGUUGAAGGGCAAGUGUCUGCCAGCACUAUCUCUUGGGAAUGGAGAGAAAGAGCUGCCAAAACAGGAGAUACGUCUGACAUCCAGACAGCGUUAGCCGACUGGUUCCCAAGUAGGAGUUGGCUGUCCACAGAGAUGCCCUGUGUAGGUGAUAUGAAUCACAAAUACGCUCUGCCUUGAUUAAUCUCUAACAGUCAGAAAGUCGAAAGCUUCUUGUCAUCAUGUUCAAGCUUAGGAGUUUGGUUUUCCGUGGGCAGCUGGCUCUAGAAGGAUAUCACACGACUGUCUCAGGGUCCCCGAGGGAUGUUGUAAAAGCUGUCUGUAUGUGGGUCCCUGAAUUUGAGGUCGUGGGUGUGGAAGGUGAUGCACCAGGGAGUUGGCUCUUAGCUUACUGGGUCAGAUGUUUCUGAGAACCUUCUUCACCAGAGUUUACAGUUCAGUUUCAGAGGUGAAUGAGCCGUUUCAGAUGAUCAAAAAGAUAUGCUCUCUCAUAUCUCCCAGAGAAUAAUCUUUCCUUCCUCAGUUACUUUGAAACUGAAGUUUGCUGCCAGCGUAGGAGCCAAUCCAUUAUAUCAUAAUCAAUGACAUGAAUGUUUUGCUCAAGUUCAG